This 1366-nucleotide ribosomal RNA is filed under the name uncultured bacterium. RNAcentral's name for it is "bacterial SSU rRNA". It matches the Rfam family "Bacterial small subunit ribosomal RNA", at positions 44 to 1395 of the family's 1533-position model. The record is from RNAcentral.
AGGCCUAACAUGCAAGUCGAACGGCAGCACGGGAGCUUGCUCCCGGUGGCGAGUGGCGAACGGGUGAGUAAUGUAUCGGAACGUACCCCGUCGUGGGGGAUAACUCUCCGAAAGGAGAGCUAAUACCGCAUACGACCCGAGGGUGAAAGCGGGGGACCUGGGGUAACCUGGGCUUCGCGCGAUGGGAGCGGCCGAUAUCGGAUUAGCUAGUUGGUGGGGUAAGGGCCUACCAAGGCGACGAUCCGUAGCGGGUCUGAGAGGACGACCCGCCACACUGGAACUGAGACACGGUCCAGACUCCUACGGGAGGCAGCAGUGGGGAAUUUUGGACAAUGGGCGCAAGCCUGAUCCAGCCAUUCCGCGUGAGUGAAGAAGGCCUUCGGGUUGUAAAGCUCUUUCAGCAGGAACGAAACGGUGGGUCUUAAUACGGCCUGCUAAUGACGGUACCUGCAGAAGAAGCACCGGCUAACUACGUGCCAGCAGCCGCGGUAAUACGUAGGGUGCGAGCGUUAAUCGGAAUUACUGGGCGUAAAGCGUGCGCAGGCGGCGACAUAAGACAGAUGUGAAAUCCCCGGGCUCAACCUGGGAACGGCGUUUGUGACUGUGUGGCUAGAGUGUAGCAGAGGGGGGUGGAAUUCCACGUGUAGCAGUGAAAUGCGUAGAGAUGUGGAGGAACACCGAUGGCGAAGGCAGCCCCCUGGGUUAACACUGACGCUCAUGCACGAAAGCGUGGGGAGCAAACAGGAUUAGAUACCCUGGUAGUCCACGCCCUAAACGAUGCCAACUAGGUGUUGGGGGGAGGAGACUUCCUUAGUACCGUAGCUAACGCGUGAAGUUGGCCGCCUGGGGAGUACGGUCGCAAGAUUAAAACUCAAAGGAAUUGACGGGGACCCGCACAAGCGGUGGAUGAUGUGGAUUAAUUCGAUGCAACGCGAAAAACCUUACCUACCCUUGACAUGUCCGGAAUCCCGAAGAGAUUUGGGAGUGCUCGAAAGAGAGCCGGAACACAGGUGCUGCAUGGCUGUCGUCAGCUCGUGUCGUGAGAUGUUGGGUUAAGUCCCGCAACGAGCGCAACCCUUAUCAUUAGUUGCCAUCAUUGAGUUGGGCACUCUAAUGAGACUGCCGGUGACAAACCGGAGGAAGGUGGGGAUGACGUCAAGUCCUCAUGGCCCUUAUGGGUAGGGCUUCACACGUCAUACAAUGGUCGGUACAGAGGGUUGCCAACCCGCGAGGGGGAGCUAAUCUCACAAAGCCGAUCGUAGUCCGGAUCGCAGUCUGCAACUCGACUGCGUGAAGUCGGAAUCGCUAGUAAUCGUGGAUCAGCAUGUCACGGUGAAUACGUUCCCGGGCCUUGUACACACCGCCC